UUUUAUUUCACUUACUGUAAAUGUGAGUUAGAGCAAAUAGGCUCCUGAUGGUUAGCUGGGCUGGCUACUUUAGCCUUGCAGGAGGCAGUGUAUUACAAUGGCAGUAGAUGUUUGGGAGUCAGGUGUAUAAUUUUGGCUUCACUACCUACUGGGUGUGAGGCUUAACCUCUCUGAGUUUUAGUUUCCUCUUCUGUACAGUAGGGUUAAUACAUUUUCCCUAGGUCAUUUCUAACUUUUAUAUAAGCUCACAAAUGUAAAACAAAAAACUGUAUGGUAGGAUAUUUCUAGGCAAAUCAAUGUAUGUUAUGGUCCCUCUUGCUUUUCUUUGACUUAAAUGGAAUCAAUCAUUGCAUUGGAUAAGAAGGGAAGCAGUACUGGUUGAGUGAACACUGUGAAUUUGGAGGACGUGUGCUGGACCUCAGCCAUACCUCUAACACAUUGGGUAACCUUGGACACACAACGUGACCUCACAGAACUCCAGUUCCCUCUGUCAUAAUCUGGAAUGAUGAUAUCAAUCAAGUGAAGCAGCUAUCACAGGGUCUGGAACAUAGUACAUCCCAGCCUUCUUGCACAUAGAAACACUACACAGCACUUCAGCUGUAUGUUUGGGGGCCAUUUUAAACAGCAAAAUCAUCAACAGGAAGCAGAAAAUUGUAAAAAUUGUGGCACUAAAUAGACCAUGUAAAGGACACAUGUUUGCAAUAAGAAAGCUGAAACAAGAAGGGGGAGUGUCACCUUAUUUGAUCCAGCUAGAAACUCAGGUGCUGGUAUUCCAGCAACACUCAGGCGGCUGCUCCAGGAGGCUGCAGAGGGGUCCUUUUUAGCCGUCAACAAAACUGGCUAUGGUCACGCCCAUUGGGAAACUCAUUGCUGCCUUCAAGGACUCAGAAGCUGUAGGAAUAUUCAGGCACAGACACCAGACCCAGCUUCAUCUCUAACUUGUGGCAAAGGACAGUACAUCCUGGGAUGGGACCCUAUGCUCCCCUAUGCCAUUUAGACAGAGCCUGGGGAGAGUGACUUCCCAGGGUAUCCAUGUUGGAAUCUCUCAUUUGAUUCUUAUUCAAAUUUAGGUUCUGUCAAUAGAAGAUACUAAAGAAAGAAAGCCAGGAGAAGAAAAGGGACUUCUUUCUUCAAGGUCUAAGCUGUUCUAAUAGCAUUAUUCUGGGAAUGGCAUCUUCCACUCCUCCUAGUACAAAGAACCUGCUUCCUCAUACCCCGUCAAGGAACUGCAGCAUCCAGGUGAUGGCCACAGUGGCAGAACCUAGGAAGCCAAGAAGAAACCAGAGAAUGGAGACACAUGGCAGCAAUGGCAAGUCAUCAGACCCAGGAUUUCCCAAAGAACACUGGUCCAGGAAGAUGCUCUGUGAAAAAGUGUUCCCUGGUCGGAGAAAUUUGUGAAACACUUUGCAUAAUACUUAAAAGAAUGUAUGGCACAUCAAAGGUAAUAUGCAAUAAAAGAAUUCAUUUUUUUAAAACCAAGCAUAUGCACAACUUAUUUAACUAUGGAUUCGAUUUUUAGAUUCAUAUUUUUUGACCCACAUUUGUGGAGCCACAUCCAUAGAACAGAUUUGACCAUGCUUAUGGUUAUCAUUAAAAAAUUUUUUUAAAUUCAGAUUGAUUUUGGAAUUGGUUUCCCAUCAUAGUUCAAGUAGAUACUGUCCCAAACAAUCUGAAAUCAAGAAAUUAGCAAAUGGGCUUGUUGUUUGUGGAUUUGAAUGGAUUGAAUUCCUACAGCAUUGAAGAAAGAUAUAUUUUAAAGCCUAUUUUUGGAAAAAUACUCUUAGUUGGGUAUUUCAUUUGAUUUGGUACACAGUAGUCAUAAAUUGCCAUCUUUUUCUGCUGUACUUUAUCCUAAAUAUAUUCCAUGGUAUGUUUUCAUAAUUAACAUGCAAAUAGAUGUAUAGUUUAUAAUUAAUUUCAACUGGGCACAGUGAAAAUCUUGAAAACCUCAGCAUGGAGGCAUCUUUGUUGGUAGAAAUUCAAUGAAAUCCCCAAACAUCUUUGGUUUUGCAAUCCAUAAUUUGCAGAUUAUUAAUACAAUAAAUCCUUGUUGUCUGUGAGAGUUGGCAUCGUACCCAUGAACUCCUGUGUAGAAAGCCUACAAACUAAAAGUCCAAAUGGAAAGAAAAAAUCACGUGGUUUCUGUGUAUGCUCAUUACCUGCUUCUGAAACCAUAAUAUCUCGGCCUUUUAUAGAUCUUAUAACAGUCUCCGCAGGAAGCAGCUGCAGUCAUUAGCCAUAGGACAGACUAAACACACAAUCUGCAUGGAAGGAGGCCUGGAUCAGCUUGGUCUUUCAGAUCUCUAAUCUCAGGCACAGGAAAGCACCAUCAACAGCACCCUUUGUAUAUAUACAUAAAGGUAACAUAUUUUAUCAUUUAAAGGGAUUUGAGAAAUUGAAGAGGCCCAACUCUUUUUCUGCCUUCUUUGGUUUGAGGCUUAGAUUGCUUAAGGGGCUUGCCCAGGAUCACAUAUCUUGUAAGAGACAGAGCAAGGAUUCAAAGCCAGUGCUGGCUUCUGUGUCUCCAUUCUUUCCAUUCUCCUCCAGUGGCUCUUUUGGGAAGCUGAGGGAGGAACAGCAGCAGAAUUGGGUGGCACCUGCCCAUGCCCAUCAUGCACUGAGCAUCUUCAGGUCUGGCCAUGGACCCCUUAAUUCCUAAUCCAGAAUUCCUCCCAUCACUCUUUGCUGAGAAAAGCACUAAAAUGGAGAUAUUUGUUCCAAAAUCCCAAAUUUUAAUUCCAUAGAGCAAAGUGUCUUUAUUUUUAAAUCAUCCAACUCAUCAUAAAUUCAGCUGGAUUCAUUAGAGUUAAAGAAUUGACAACACCAAACAUUUUGUAACAGAAGUUACUGCUGCUUAAGGAGUUAGGGUUCACCUUUUCCAGAGCUCUUCAGUGCCAACCCAGCACCAAUAUCCCAGCGUCGCUGGAGGGAAUGAUGGCGCCCUGCAUUUCAGAGAAGAUUUAAAACCGAGAUCCUAACUGCUCAUCAUCAUUAAAAAUCUCCAGGCAGUUUUCAUAAGAGCAAGGGGGUGGUUGCCUGAGGUUUUGGCUGACAGUCAACCCAACUAAUUACAUUCUGUCUACUGUGUCCUCCCGCAGUUUCAAUUGGAUAUGUUUUUUUUUUUAUUUCCUGUCCUAAUCUGAAUGUAGGGUUGCUAUGUGUUCUUAAGCAGAUGCUGCUGUUCUUGCUGGUAGAAGAGGCUUUUCAGAUUUGUUUUUUUCCUCACAGAAAGUUUUUGAGACUUUAAAUAAAAUAAUUCUUCUAAAUGUUCCUAAGAUCCUGGCACCAAAUACAUUCUAAAUGCAAUGUGUGCAGCAUGAAGGAAUUGCAAAGAUAGCAAGUAGAUAAAAGACGUACUUCACAGGAGCAUCCAGCCUCCUAUAG
This 3384-nucleotide long non-coding RNA is filed under the name Homo sapiens (human). Its description in RNAcentral is "HSALNT0394495". Lineage: Eukaryota; Metazoa; Chordata; Mammalia; Primates; Hominidae. The record is from RNAcentral.